GGGCCCGUGGCGCAGCUUGGUAGCGCGUUCGGCUGAUAACCGGAAGGUCGAGGGUUCGAAUCCCUUCGGGCCCA
This 74-nucleotide transfer RNA is filed under the name Methanobacteriota archaeon. RNAcentral's name for it is "Euryarchaeota archaeon (groundwater metagenome) tRNA-Ile". It matches the Rfam family "tRNA". Rfam says of the family: Transfer RNA (tRNA) molecules are approximately 80 nucleotides in length. Their secondary structure includes four short double-helical elements and three loops (D, anti-codon, and T loops). Further hydrogen bonds mediate the characteristic L-shaped molecular structure. tRNAs have two regions of fundamental functional importance: the anti-codon, which is responsible for specific mRNA codon recognition, and the 3' end, to which the tRNAs corresponding amino acid is attached (by aminoacyl-tRNA synthetases). tRNAs cope with the degeneracy of the genetic code in two manners: having more than one tRNA (with a specific anti-codon) for a particular amino acid; and 'wobble' base-pairing, i.e. permitting non-standard base-pairing at the 3rd anti-codon position. Lineage: Archaea; Methanobacteriati; Methanobacteriota. The record is from RNAcentral.